RNAcentral lists this ribosomal RNA (502 nucleotides) under uncultured bacterium. Its description in RNAcentral is "partial 16S ribosomal RNA". It matches the Rfam family "Bacterial small subunit ribosomal RNA", at positions 30 to 523 of the family's 1533-position model. The record is from RNAcentral.
AUUGAACGCUGGCGGCAUGCCUUACACAUGCAAGUCGAACGGCAGCACGGGUGCUUGCACCUGGUGGCGAGUGGCGAACGGGUGAGUAAUGUAUCGGAACGUACCUUUCAGUGGGGGAUAACUAUCCGAAAGGAUAGCUAAUACCGCAUAUUCUGUGAGCAGGAAAGCAGGGGAUCGCAAGACCUUGCGCUGAUUGAGCGGCCGAUAUCAGAUUAGCUAGUUGGUGGGGUAAAGGCCUACCAAGGCUACGAUCUGUAGCGGGUCUGAGAGGAUGAUCCGCCACACUGGAACUGAGACACGGUCCAGACUCCUACGGGAGGCAGCAGUGGGGAAUUUUGGACAAUGGGGGCAACCCUGAUCCAGCCAUGCCGCGUGAGUGAAGAAGGCCUUCGGGUUGUAAAGCUCUUUCGGACGGGAAGAAAUCGCAUCGGCUAAUACCUGGUGCGGAUGACGGUACCGUAAUAAGAAGCACCGGCUAACUACGUGCCAGCAGCCGCAGUAA